This is a non-coding RNA of Musa acuminata subsp. malaccensis (wild Malaysian banana), 128 nucleotides long. Lineage: Eukaryota; Viridiplantae; Streptophyta; Magnoliopsida; Zingiberales; Musaceae. The record is from Rfam.
GAGCGGAAGCGCCGGAUUGAGAUGGCGAUUUCUGCAUUGAAGGUUGGCGACAACGAACUUAUCGCAGUUCUCCGUGCCUCUCAAAUUUUUCUCUGUUUUGAUGAUGGCCUCGAACAAGCUGCUACAUU